Molecule: ribosomal RNA, 505 nt
Filed under: uncultured bacterium
Lineage: Bacteria
Description: partial 16S ribosomal RNA
Rfam family: Bacterial small subunit ribosomal RNA
Source: RNAcentral
GACGAACGCUGGCGGCGUGCCUAAUACAUGCAAGUCGAACGCACAGUUUAUACCGUAGCUUGCUACACCAUAGACUGUGAGUUGCGAACGGGUGAGUAACGCUUAGGUAACCUGCCUGGUAGCGGGGGAUAACUAUUGGAAACGAUAGCUAAUACCGCAUGAUAUUCAUUAUUGCAUGUUAAUUUAUUGAAAGGUGCAAUUGCACCACUACCAGUCGGACCUGCGUUGUAUUAGCUAGUAGGUGAGGUGACGGCUCACCUAGGCGACGAUACAUAGCCGACCGGAGAGGGUGGUCGGCCACACUGGGACUGAGACACGGCCCAGACUCCUACGGGAGGCAGCAGUAGGGAAUCUUCGGCAAUGGACGAAAGUCUGACCGAGCAACGCGGCGUGAGUGAAGAAGGGUUUCGGAUCGUAAAGCUCUGUUGUAAGAGAAGAACGGGUGUGAGAGUGGAAAGUUCACACUGUGACGGUAUCUUACCAGAAAGGGACGGCUAACUACGUG